GUCACUACGUCACGUGACCUAACGCGGCAAACAUAAAAUCCGGCAGUGGGCUGCUCCCGAGAGGAACACGCUGGGCGAGGUUGCUGCGGAUAUGUGACUCGGUUUUGACGCUUUAAUUAUUAACUAAGCCUUCUAACUGAAAUGUAGUUAUGUCGAACUGUAGGAGCCGACUACCGGAGAUGUGGGUCGUCCUGCGGGAGUGUUUGAGUGGGAUUUAUCUGCGGAAUUGGCCAGGUUGGAUAACGAGCUAGAGCCGGAACUACAGUCUGAAGCUUUAUGCCCGGAACCGAACCAACUGAACUGAAUCCACCCAACCGACCCCCGGGCGGUCCUCCUGAACAUUCACUUUCCCCCCAUCCGUUCGCUAAAACCCCUCCGGACACUGCCACCACAACCUGCACUUUGCGGGCCUGUUUAAAGAACUCUGAACUCGUGUCGCACUUAUACCUUCGUUGGUAGAAACAAGGACUGAAUAAAGUACUGGACCACAUUGUAAAUAUUGAACGUUCUAUGAAUUUGUUGAAUAUCCGAAUGGCCAUUCGAAUUUAUGUGUCAAUUGUUUAUUUUUCCUAUUAUUUUUUAAUAUAAUUUGGUACUACUUAAACUCAAAUCCUGUGUUCAGUCUCCAUUACUCUCCAUUCCUAGAGCUGAAUAUAGUUUCUUCUGAUCUAGCCCAGUCAUAUCAUUACGGUUUACUUAGUACUUGUACAGUGCUUUACUAAAUAAAUGAUAAAUGGGUUGUACUUGUAUAGCGCUUUUCUACCUUCAAGGUACUCAAAGCGCUUUGACACUACUUACACAUUUACCCAUUCACACACACAUUCACACACUGAUGGAGGGAGCUGCCAUGCAAGGCGCCAACCAGCACACAUCAGGAGCAAGGGUGAAGUGUCUUGCUCAGGACACAACGGACGUGACGAGGUUGGUACUAG
This is a long non-coding RNA of Nerophis ophidion (straightnose pipefish), 932 nucleotides long. RefSeq lists it as uncharacterized. The transcript is spliced from 3 exons. The record is from RefSeq and is a predicted model, not a curated record. Lineage: Eukaryota; Metazoa; Chordata; Actinopteri; Syngnathiformes; Syngnathidae.